Long non-coding RNA from Apis florea (little honeybee), 1823 nucleotides. NCBI's taxonomy places the organism in Eukaryota, Metazoa, Arthropoda, Insecta, Hymenoptera, Apidae. The record is from RefSeq and is a predicted model, not a curated record.
GAGGAGGAGGAGGAGGAGGACGGACAAUCUCCUCGGCCGAUUCCUUCGAUUCGAAUGCCUCGUCCAUCGAUCGAGCCCUACGAGCCCCGAAUCCGAAAGGAACCGAUGAAUUUCGUGGAGGCAGGGCAAUUGUAUCGUUCGAACGAAAAAAAUUCCUCGCCGUUUUUUUCACACGGACGUCGUCGGUCACGUGACGACGCGUCGUCGUAACGGGUCGUGGGCGAAGGAUCGGACGCGAAACGCAAUUUAACAGGGUGAACGUCGCGACAGGGGCCGCCGAUACUUUCUCUUGCGCGGUCCAUCAAAAUUCUUCCGCCGUGUUUAGCCACGCACGAGUCGUUGGAACACGCACCGGCCAAACCGGAAAACCGUGCCCGUAAUCGACGAUAUCCGCCCGCAAUUCAGAUGGAACGUUUCUGGAUGGAACACGCACCGAUAGACACACUUCGGUAAGAGAGAGACUCCGGUCUAAUCUGACUGCCACGAGAUGAAGGAAAUUACGAGACGCUUCCUGGACGAUAAAAAAUAAUUGUCAUGCGCGAGAAGGAUUGCAGCUUAGUCAUGCACCUGGAAACUUGUUCGUGGGAGUUGUAGCGCUCAAUGAGAGAGACGUGGAUAUAAUUACAGAGGAGUGUAACGAAUUUUUUUUUACCAAGGAAUCGAAUCGCCUUGACGAAGUUAUAUUUUUUUUCUUUUUUCCUCCCAGAAUAAGGAAAGAAGAUUUCCGUGAAAUAUAUUCGAAAGAAACAAAUAAUUAAAUAUUAAAAUGUUAAAUUUUUUUGUAAUCGUAUUGCCAAUAAUGGCAAUCGCGCUUGUCCUCCCGAUUGUUUAUUAAUUAUUAAAACAAGCAAAAUUUAUAAAACGACACGCACAUCUUUUCUCGCUCGAAAAAAAAUAGCACUUUAUCAUUUGACCUUUACGAGGAAUCAUCGAGUAAUUAUAGUAAUUACAAAUUGCUGGACGUUAAGGUAAUCGGUCGAUUUCCAAUUUUUUAUUUAAGAAAUGUUUGCAACAAAAGUAUCCACGGAUCUCGAAGUUGAAACGCGUCGUAAUUGUCUUGUCUUUUCUCCUUCGAAAUCCGACAUUUCGAUCGAAUUAUACAAGGUGGCUUUAUCCGAGCGUAACGAGAGAGGAAGAUUUGUUGGAUGGACGCGCGCGCGCGCGUGGAAGAUCGUUCGAAGGUGUUUCUCGGAAAGAAAACAUUGGAGAUCGAUUCGGGGACGAAAUUCACGAGUUUAAGAAAACGUUCGAGCAAGCAGUCUCGUUUCGAAUUCGAUCGAUCCAAUCGAUCGGGAGAAAUAGGAGCGGAUAGCGUUUUCUUUUCUUUUCGUCGGUCGGUUUAAUUCGAUGGAGAAUGAGAUUGAGAAAAGGAUGGCGGAAUCGGGAAGAUGACGACGCGGUUCUUAUCUAAGAACCGAGACGCGACGGGAGACGAGACUGGAGCAAUUCGACCACCAGUCACGUAUAAAUUUUUGUAGGAAACCAGGCCCGCGUGUUUUUCGCUCUCCGCUAUCCGACUCUCCUCCACCUGCGGAGAAAUUUGAUUUCCUAGACGUUGCACUAUACGACGGAUCGACAGAUGAUGCGAAAGAGAAAGAGGAAACGCGGAUCGUCCUUGAUCUACAUCUACGCGGCAACGAAUUUCCUAAUGAUCCUAUCCUCCUUCUAUCCUCGUUCCCCCCUCCCCUCGUAUAUACACGUAUGUAAAUUCGAAUUUCAGGGAAUUUGUUUCUAAGAAUACGAAUAGAGCGGAGAGUUCGUUCCGAGAUAAAUCGAGUCGCGUCAAACGAACGAUUGACGUACGCUCACGCGCAACAUUUACA